This 711-nucleotide long non-coding RNA is filed under the name Gossypium barbadense (sea-island cotton). RNAcentral's name for it is "long non-coding RNA (GBAR_LNC023409)". The record is from RNAcentral. Lineage: Eukaryota; Viridiplantae; Streptophyta; Magnoliopsida; Malvales; Malvaceae.
AAAACCCUUGAUUCGUUUUUCUUUUUCUCUGUUAGGGUUUCAAAACCCCCUCCUUCCUUGCGCUGUCGUUUGAGCCUAGUGCCCCAUGUCUCGAUUUCACCAGAGAAGACACCGGCUCGACAACUCCGGCGACCAGGUAAGUCCUUUCCUCCUUUCUUUAUAUUUUAAAUAAAAAAUAAAAUAAAAUAAAGCUAAAAGGGAAAAAAAACAAAACGAAACUAAGAAAGAUGAAAAAUGGAAAAGACACCUUAUAUAUUCGAAAAUUUUCUGUAUCUAUUUCGUUUCUUUGUAUUUUUCUCUCUUUUCGUCCCUUUUUUACACUGAAUUCCCCCCCUUUUUACAGAUUUUCGCGCCCCCUUGAUACAGAUUUUCAUUGGCUUUAUAUAGCCGAUUAACACCAAAAAUUCGAAAAAAAUCAAAAUCCCCACUUCUUUCCUUUAUUUGCUGCGCUUGUGUCCCCCUUUUCGCAGGUUUGGUGACCGUGGAAUGCGCGCGACGGGCGCGGAGCAACAAGCGCGGCGUGUGGGCGCUGUUGCGGCGUGCGCGUGGGAGCUGCUGCGCCUAGGGUUCAUGCUGGUGUUUUGGGCUAGCAAGCUUGGUUUAGUAACUUGGGCCAUUGGGUUUCAAUUAUUGGGUUUUAAGCCUAUUAUUACAAAAAACAGACUGCCUACUUUGUUUUGUGCGGGCCCGGGUCAAUUGGGCUUAUUACAA